AAUACGACUCUCGGCAACGGAUAUCUCGGCUCUCGCAUCGAUGAAGAACGUAGCGAAAUGCGAUACUUGGUGUGAAUUGCAGAAUCCCGUGAACCAUCGAGUCUUUGAACGCAAGUUGCGCCCAAAGCCGUUAGGCUGAGGGCACGUCUGCCUGGGUGUCACAC
RNAcentral lists this ribosomal RNA (164 nucleotides) under Aglaia vitiensis. RNAcentral describes it as "5.8S ribosomal RNA". It matches the Rfam family "5.8S ribosomal RNA". From Rfam's summary of the family: 5.8S ribosomal RNA (5.8S rRNA) is a component of the large subunit of the eukaryotic ribosome. It is transcribed by RNA polymerase I as part of the 45S precursor that also contains 18S and 28S rRNA. The record is from RNAcentral. Lineage: Eukaryota; Viridiplantae; Streptophyta; Magnoliopsida; Sapindales; Meliaceae.